RNAcentral lists this ribosomal RNA (1309 nucleotides) under Simocephalus sibiricus. Its description in RNAcentral is "16S ribosomal RNA". The stretch from base 612 to 1309 matches the Rfam family "Archaeal large subunit ribosomal RNA", at positions 1423 to 2884 of the family's 2987-position model. Lineage: Eukaryota; Metazoa; Arthropoda; Branchiopoda; Diplostraca; Daphniidae. The record is from RNAcentral.
AAGUUUGACUUAAUUUUAGAAGUUAAGAGAACCAUCUUAAUAAUUUACAAUAUAAGUAUUUGUUAAAGAAAGUAGUUUAGAAAUUUAAAGAGAAAAGUACCGUAAGGGAAAGUUUUAAAGUGUUUUUGAAAAAAGAAGAGGUUGAACUCGUACCUUGUGUAUUAGGGUUAAAUAAAUUAUUUUGAUAUAAAGUUGUCCCGAAUUUAAGUGAGUUACAAUUUCAUUAAAGUAGAUGUAACAUAAUCUUUUUAAAUGAUUUGUAGGGUGAAAUGCCAAUCGAACUUUUAUAUCUGGUUCUUCAGGAAAUAAAUUGAAUUUAGUAAAUUAAAUGUUUUUUGUUUUAUUUGAUAAGAAAAAAUGAUAGUUUAAAAAAUUUUAGAGGGAUGAGCUUCUAAAAUAAUUCGUAUAAUAAUUAAAUAGGAUAUAAAUGAUUUAAGGUUUAAUAAUUACCUAAAACAAAAAGUUUGUUAUUAUUUACAUUUAUUUUAAUAUUAUUUUUUAUUAUUUAUGUUUUUUACUGGGGUAAAAAAAUUAAUUAUCUAUUUUUAGUAAUAUUGUUUAAAUUAGUAGUAAACUUUGUGGUCAAAUAUUUUAUUUUUAAAUUAAAUAUAUGAUAAUUAGAAGUUUAUUUAAAGGAAUUCGGCAAAUUUUUUCCGCAUGUUUAUCAAAAACAUCUCUUUUAGAAAAUUAAAAGUAAUGCCUGCUCAAUGCUUUAAGUAAAUAGCCGCAGUAUUUUGACUGUGCUAAGGUAGCAUAAUCAUUAGUCUCUUGAUUAGAGGCUGGUAUGAAUGGCAAGACGAGAAAAAAACUGUCUCUAAAUAAAAUUUACGAAUUUCAUUUCUUAAUGAAAAAGUUAAGAUGAUUUUGAAGGACGAUCAGACCCUCUGGAGCUUUAUCAAGAGAAUAUUUUGUAUUUAUUUUAAAAAAUGAAAAUAGAAACUUGAUUUUGUUGGGGCGACAAGAAGAAAAAAAUAACACUUCUUUUAUUUACCAUAAAUUAAUGAAUUAUUGAUCCUUAAUGAGAGAUUAAAAGACUAAGUUACCCUAGGGAUAACAGCGUAAUCUUUUUGGAGAGUUCUUAUCGAUAAAAAGGUUUGCGACCUCGAUGUUGGAUUAAGAAAUUAGCAAGGUGCAGAAGUUUUGCUGGAAAGUCUGUUCGACUUUUAAUUUCUUACAUGAUCUGAGUUCAAACCGGCGUAAGCCAGGUUGGUUUCUAUCCUCAAAUUUUAUUAAAUUUCUUUAGUACGAAAGGAUUGGGAAAUUAAGAAAUUCUUUAUUUAAUGAAUAAAAUUAAUAUAAAGAAAAUUGU